RNAcentral lists this transfer RNA (74 nucleotides) under Candidatus Woesearchaeota archaeon. Its description in RNAcentral is "tRNA-Lys". It matches the Rfam family "tRNA". From Rfam's summary of the family: Transfer RNA (tRNA) molecules are approximately 80 nucleotides in length. Their secondary structure includes four short double-helical elements and three loops (D, anti-codon, and T loops). Lineage: Archaea; Nanobdellati; Candidatus Woesearchaeota. The record is from RNAcentral.
GGGCUCAUAGCUCAGUCUGGUAGAGCGUAUGGCUCUUAACCAUAAGGUCGGGGGUUCGAAUCCCUCUGAGCCCG